Molecule: ribosomal RNA, 487 nt
Filed under: Nymphon hamatum
Lineage: Eukaryota; Metazoa; Arthropoda; Pycnogonida; Pantopoda; Nymphonidae
Description: partial 16S ribosomal RNA
Rfam family: Bacterial large subunit ribosomal RNA
Source: RNAcentral
GCUUUUUGUUAAAAAUAAAAAGUAGGGUCUGCCCAGUGAGAAAUUUUUAACGGCCGCAAUAUUUGUGCGAAGGUAGCAUAAUCAUUUGUCUUUUAAUUGAUGACUGGAAUGAAUGGCUGGACGGGGAUAAGCUGUCUUAUAUAUAUAUAUUUGAAAUUUACUUUUAAGUAAAAAGGCUUAAAUAUUUUAGAGGGACGAGAAGACCCUAUUGAGUUUAAUAGAAUUUAUUUAAAUUUUUCUCAAAUUUUUAUUUAAACUAUUUAGUUGGGGAGAUUUGAUAUUAUUAACUAUAUAAGAAUUAAUGGACUUUAAGUUUUUAGGAUCCAUAUUUAAUGAGUAUUAAGGUAAAUUACCUUAGGGAUAACAGCGUAAUAUUUUUUUAGAGUUCAAAUCGAUUAAAAUGAUUACGACCUCGAUGUUGGAUUAAAGAACCUAAUUUGGAGAAGAUUUUAAUUUAGGUAGUCUGUUCGACUAUUAAAUCUUUACA